GCCGCUGUGAUGGAACUGGCAGACUUGACAGACUCAAAAUCUGUUGUCCGUAAGGGCGUAUCGGUUCGAAUCCGAUCAGCGGCACCA
This 87-nucleotide transfer RNA is filed under the name Clostridium sp. JN-9. RNAcentral's name for it is "tRNA-Leu". It matches the Rfam family "tRNA". Rfam says of the family: Transfer RNA (tRNA) molecules are approximately 80 nucleotides in length. Their secondary structure includes four short double-helical elements and three loops (D, anti-codon, and T loops). The record is from RNAcentral. Lineage: Bacteria; Bacillati; Bacillota; Clostridia; Eubacteriales; Clostridiaceae.